AUUUUCUGAUUUUUAAUUCUUUUAUUUCUUUUACUUCCAUUUCUCUUUAAAAAUUCAUAUCUCUCUCCUUAUAGGUCCAAAAAUUAUGGGACCAAUUUCAUUCUUCUCCUUUUAAUUUCUACUUCCUAAAAAUGAUUUUUAAUAUUUUUUAUUCUAUCAUUUGAUAUUUUUUAGUAAGUUUCUGUUGUCUGCUUAUUUUUAAUUGAUUUAAAA
This 213-nucleotide long non-coding RNA is filed under the name Lathyrus oleraceus (garden pea). RNAcentral's name for it is "Pisum sativum (pea) long non-coding RNA (PSAT_LNC039412)". Lineage: Eukaryota; Viridiplantae; Streptophyta; Magnoliopsida; Fabales; Fabaceae. The record is from RNAcentral.